Molecule: transfer RNA, 69 nt
Filed under: Micromys minutus (European harvest mouse)
Lineage: Eukaryota; Metazoa; Chordata; Mammalia; Rodentia; Muridae
Description: tRNA-Ala
Rfam family: tRNA
About the family: Transfer RNA (tRNA) molecules are approximately 80 nucleotides in length.
Source: RNAcentral
GAAGACUUAGCUUAAUCAAAGCGAUUGGUUUGCAUCCAAUAGAUGUAGGGUGAAGUCUUACAGUCUUUA